This 484-nucleotide ribosomal RNA is filed under the name uncultured bacterium. RNAcentral's name for it is "partial 16S ribosomal RNA". It matches the Rfam family "Bacterial small subunit ribosomal RNA", at positions 30 to 507 of the family's 1533-position model. The record is from RNAcentral.
AUUGAACGCUGGCGGCAGGCCUAACACAUGCAAGUCGAGCGGAUGAAGGGAGCUUGCUCCUGGAUUCAGCGGCGGACGGGUGAGUAAUGCCUAGGAAUCUGCCUGGUAGUGGGGGAUAACGUCCGGAAACGGGCGCUAAUACCGCAUCCGUCCUGAGGGAGAAAGUGGGGGAUCUUCGGACCUCACGCUAUCAGAUGAGCCUAGGUCGGAUUAGCUAGUUGGUGGGGUAAAGGCCUACCAAGGCGACGAUCCGUAACUGGUCUGAGAGGAUGACCAGUCACACUGGAACUGAGACACGGUCCAGACUCCUACGGGAGGCAGCAGUGGGGAAUAUUGGACAAUGGGCGAAAGCCUGAUCCAGCCAUGCCGCGUGUGUGAAGAAGGUCUUCGGAUUGUAAAGCACUUUAAGUUGGGAGGAAGGGCAGUAAGUUAAUACCUUGCUGUUUUGACGUUACCAACAGAAUAAGCACCGGCUAACUUCGUG